Molecule: ribosomal RNA, 497 nt
Filed under: uncultured bacterium
Lineage: Bacteria
Description: partial 16S ribosomal RNA
Rfam family: Bacterial small subunit ribosomal RNA
Source: RNAcentral
GAUGAACGCUGGCGGCGUGCCUAAUACAUGCAAGUCGAGCGAACAGACGAGGAGCUUGCUCCUCUGACGUUAGCGGCGGACGGGUGAGUAACACGUGGAUAACCUACCUAUAAGACUGGGAUAACUUCGGGAAACCGGAGCUAAUACCGGAUAAUAUAUUGAACCGCAUGGUUCAAUAGUGAAAGACGGUUUUGCUGUCACUUAUAGAUGGAUCCGCGCCGCAUUAGCUAGUUGGUAAGGUAACGGCUUACCAAGGCAACGAUGCGUAGCCGACCUGAGAGGGUGAUCGGCCACCCUGGAACUGAGACACGGUCCAGACUCCUACGGGAGGCAGCAGUAGGGAAUCUUCCGCAAUGGGCGAAAGCCUGACGGAGCAACGCCGCGUGAGUGAUGAAGGUCUUCGGAUCGUAAAACUCUGUUAUUAGGGAAGAACAAAUGUAUAAGUAACUAUGCACGUCUUGACGGUACCUAAUCAGAAAGCCACGGCUAACUACGUG